This 477-nucleotide ribosomal RNA is filed under the name uncultured Acidobacteriota bacterium. Its description in RNAcentral is "bacterial SSU rRNA". It matches the Rfam family "Bacterial small subunit ribosomal RNA", at positions 13 to 525 of the family's 1533-position model. The record is from RNAcentral. Lineage: Bacteria; Pseudomonadati; Acidobacteriota.
UUGAUCCUGGCUCAGAAUCAACGCUGGCGGCGCGCUUAACACAUGCAAGUCGAACGAGAAAGGGAGCAAUCCUGAGUAAAGUGGCGUACUGGUGAGUAAUACGUGGAUAUCUACCUCUUGGUGGGGAAUAACCUGGGGAAACCUGGGCUUAUACCGCAUAAGUUCGUGAGAAGAAAGGCGCAAGUCGCCGAGAGAGGAGUCCGCGGUCGAUUAGGUAGUUGGCGGGGUAAGAGCCCACCAAGCCAAAGAUCGAUAGCCGGCCUGAGAGGGCACACGGCCACACUGGCACUGAAACACGGUCCAGACUCCUACGGGAGGCAGCAGUGGGGAAUCUUGCACAAUGGGGGAAUCCCUGAUGCAGCGACGCCGCGUGAGCGAUGAAGCCCUUCGGGGUGUAAAUCUCUUUCGGCAGGAACGAUAAUGACGGUACCUGCAGAAGAAGCUGCGGCUAACUACGUGCCAGCAGCCGCGGUAAUU